GUGGGGAAUCUUGCACAAUGGGGGAAACCCUGAUGCAGCGACGCCGCGUGAGCGAUGAAGCCCCUCGGGGUGUAAAGCUCUUUCGGCAGGGAAGAUUAUGACGGUACCUGCAAAAGCAGCUGCGGCUAACUACGUGCCAGCAGCCGCGGUAAUACGUAGGCAGCAAGCGUUGUUCGGAGUUACUGGGCGUAAAGGGUGCGUAGGCGGCUUUUUAAGUUUGGUGUGAAAUCUCCCGGCUCAACUGGGAGGGUGCGCCGAAUACUGAGAGGCUAGAGUGUGGGAGAGGAAAGUGGAAUUCCUGGUGUAGCGGUGAAAUGCGUAGAUAUCAGGAGGAACACCGGUGGUGUAAACGGCUUUCUGGACCAUAACUGACGCUGAGGCACGAAAGCGUGGGUAGCAAACAGGAUUAGAUACCCUUGUAGUCC
This 425-nucleotide ribosomal RNA is filed under the name uncultured bacterium. Its description in RNAcentral is "bacterial SSU rRNA". It matches the Rfam family "Bacterial small subunit ribosomal RNA", at positions 354 to 796 of the family's 1533-position model. The record is from RNAcentral.